GGUUAGCGGCGGACGGGUGAGUAACACGUNNGCAACCUGCCCUCAAGACUGGGAUAACCUCCGGAAACGGAUGCUAAUACCGGAUAUGCGGUUUCUCCUCCUGGAGANNNCGGGAAAGACGGAGCAAUCUGUCACUUGGGGAUGGGCCUGCGGCGCAUUAGCUAGUUGGUGAGGUAACGGCUCACCAAGGCGACGAUGCGUAGCCGACCUGAGAGGGUGAUCGGCCACACUGGGACUGAGACACGGCCCAGACUCCUACGGGAGGCAGCAGUAGGGAAUCUUCCGCAAUGGACGCAAGUCUGACGGAGCAACGCCGCGUGAGUGAGGAAGGCCUUCGGGUCGUAAAGCUCUGUUGCCAGGGAAGAACGGGUGGAAGAGUAACUGCUUCCNNNNUGACGGUACCUGAGAAGAAAGCCCCGGCUAAC
RNAcentral lists this ribosomal RNA (425 nucleotides) under Paenibacillus sp. Its description in RNAcentral is "partial 16S ribosomal RNA". It matches the Rfam family "Bacterial small subunit ribosomal RNA", at positions 90 to 501 of the family's 1533-position model. The record is from RNAcentral. Lineage: Bacteria; Bacillati; Bacillota; Bacilli; Caryophanales; Paenibacillaceae.